RNAcentral lists this long non-coding RNA (260 nucleotides) under Trifolium pratense (red clover). Its description in RNAcentral is "long non-coding RNA (TPRA_LNC000464)". Lineage: Eukaryota; Viridiplantae; Streptophyta; Magnoliopsida; Fabales; Fabaceae. The record is from RNAcentral.
UUGAUGAUCGAUGAAUUUAUCGAUGUAAAAAAUAAAGUAUAUUAUUGAUGAUUUCAAGUUACUCAGUAUAUAUAUGUAGAGUAUUAUUUUAAGUUAUACAGUUUAAUUUUAUAGCUUAUCAAAAUAAAUUAUAAGCUAGUAUAAAUAAGUUAUAAGCUGAUGUAGGAAGGCUGGCCGCACGGAAUUGAAGACGAAGUAGCGCGUAAACGGAAAUAAUGUAGAUUUGAUUUUACUAUAUUUUAGCUAGAUUUUUUAUAUUU